Non-coding RNA from Heterocephalus glaber (naked mole-rat), 1425 nucleotides. The record is from RefSeq and is a predicted model, not a curated record. Lineage: Eukaryota; Metazoa; Chordata; Mammalia; Rodentia; Bathyergidae.
CCUCCUGUGUUUCAGUGCCCUUCAUUGAGCUCACAGCAGGGAAAUCUAAUACAUGCAUUGUACUCCAUGAAUAUAAACAAUUAUUAUGUGUCAAUCAAAUAAAUACAGUUUAUAGAAAGCCAAACAAUGAAACAAAACCAAAGCCAACUCAGACAAGGGUGGAGCUUCCCCUGGGUGUAGAAAUCCCGCUAUAGCACAGAGAGGGCAGCUGGGUGUUUGAAGCUGCUGGUUGUCGGUAGGAGCAGACAUUCCUGGAACCUGCCCGCACAUGCGGGGACUGGUCCUGGGAUGUUCGCAGGGGCGCCUCCCUCUCCCGCCCUUCUCCAAGGCGACAGUCGGGUUCAUUUUGGGCUAAACUGGGAGGGGGAGAGGAAAGCACAGCCCAUGCUCAUCUGAGGAGGAGUCUCCCCACUUCUCCACUGUGGCUCCGCCCGGGUGGGAAGGAGAGAGCCUUUGGCACAGGGGUGUGCGUGUGAAGUCGGGUCUCAUCCAGGUGCCUGCGCUUCUUCCAAGCUUCUUUACAUAUGGAAUCCAGUGUGUUCUUGAAUGUAAUCUGCCCAGGCGAAAAUGUGGUCACCGGGUGACUCUCACCAUCUACCAGUGAACAACUGACAUGUCCAGAUCCUAAUGAAAACUCCCAAGCGCAGGAAAACGAGGACCACGUGUCCACGGCCUGUUGACGGGAGCGGGGGACGCGGGCGUCUGGGCUUGGCCGCCAGGCACAGCUGCGUGGGCAGCGGCGCUCGCUAGCCCGGCCUGCCCCGUCCUGCGGCUUCUUUACACACGGUGGGUUCCAGUCUCUUCAAGUCAGGACUCUCCUCUUCCUGAGAGUCUGAUUCGAGUUCUGGGCCCUCACUUCUGAAACGUGCGGCGGACACUCACCUGCUGGAGCCCCGGGUCAAUCGGGUGCCGAGGUGGACCUCGAGCGUGCAGCCUUUGGGUGCUCGCCGGCUGGACUCGAACUCUGUGCUCUGACAUGAUGAAAUGGAGUGAGCUGCGAGGCGGCCUAUGAUCACAGCCAACCGUGAGAAUGCUGAUGUCUUCGUGCACUGCAUUCGCCACUUACAAACUCGGCCCUAGGGCCGGGGUUUAGUUCAGUGGUGCCGCCGCCUGCCCUGCAAGUGCAAGGACCGAGUUCGAUCUCCGGUACCAAAAAGAAAAAAAUAUCAUCACUGAGACUGCUGGGUGAUAUUGCGGCAGACAAUCCCUUUUGUGGGGACCACUCUGAAAUAUGGCCCUUCUGUUGCUUAAUCUAAAAUACCUUUUUUAUUCUUGUUUUGGUCGAGUGGUGUAUUUUGAAAAGUCCUGCAUGCCUAUUCUUUGCAGGGCAGGAAUUUUGGGUUGCAGGCUACAUAGAGGGCCCUUUGCAUUAUGUGACCUGAAACCACAUUUCUCCCCAAGUACUCUUUGGAACUUUCUCCUAAA